This 440-nucleotide ribosomal RNA is filed under the name Bacillus sp. (in: firmicutes). Its description in RNAcentral is "Bacillus sp. (in: Bacteria) partial 16S ribosomal RNA". It matches the Rfam family "Bacterial small subunit ribosomal RNA", at positions 373 to 805 of the family's 1533-position model. The record is from RNAcentral. Lineage: Bacteria; Bacillati; Bacillota; Bacilli; Caryophanales; Bacillaceae.
CGAGCCAAGUCUGACGGAGCACGCCGCGUGAGUGAUGAAGGCCUUCGGGUCGUAAAACUCUGUUGUUAGGGAAGAACAAGUACCGGAGUAACUGCCGGUACCUUGACGGUACCUAACCAGAAAGCCACGGCUAACUACGUGCCAGCAGCCGCGGUAAUACGUAGGUGGCAAGCGUUGUCCGGAAUUAUUGGGCGUAAAGCGCGCGCAGGCGGUUCUUUAAGUCUGAUGUGAAAGCCCCCGGCUCAACCGGGGAGGGUCAUUGGAAACUGGGGAACUUGAGUGCAGAAGAGGAAAGCGGAAUUCCACGUGUAGCGGUGAAAUGCGUAGAGAUGUGGAGGAACACCAGUGGCGAAGGCGGCUUUCUGGUCUGUAACUGACGCUGAGGCGCGAAAGCGUGGGGAGCAAACAGGAUUAGAUUCCCCCGGUAGAUUUUUUUUUUU